RNAcentral lists this ribosomal RNA (301 nucleotides) under uncultured bacterium. RNAcentral's name for it is "partial 16S ribosomal RNA". It matches the Rfam family "Bacterial small subunit ribosomal RNA", at positions 509 to 807 of the family's 1533-position model. The record is from RNAcentral.
CAGUAGCCGCGGUAAUACGAAGGGGGCUAGCGUUGCUCGGAAUGACUGGGCGUAAAGGGCGCGUAGGCGGUUUGUCGAGUUAGAUGUGAAAUUCUCGGGCUUAACCUGGGGACUGCAUUUGAUACUGGCAGGCUUGAGUGUGGAAGAGGGUCGUGGAAUUCCCAGUGUAGAGGUGAAAUUCGUAGAUAUUGGGAAGAACACCGGUGGCGAAAGCGGCGACCUGGUCCAUAACUGACGCUGAGGCGCGAAAGCGUGGGGAGCAAACAGGAUUAGAUACCCCCGUAGUCCCUGUCUCUUAUAC